CGGACGGGUGAGUAAUGCUUGGGAAUCCAGCUUAUGGAGGGGGAUAACUACGGGAAACUGUAGCUAAUACCGCGUAAUAUCGAAAGAUUAAAGUGUGGGACCUUCGGGCCACAUGCCAUAAGAUGAGCCCAAGUGGGAUUAGGUAGUUGGUGAGGUAAAGGCUCACCAAGCCGACGAUCUCUAGCUGGUCUGAGAGGAUGACCAGCCACACUGGGACUGAGACACGGCCCAG
Molecule: ribosomal RNA, 232 nt
Filed under: uncultured bacterium
Lineage: Bacteria
Description: partial 16S ribosomal RNA
Rfam family: Bacterial small subunit ribosomal RNA
Source: RNAcentral